RNAcentral lists this long non-coding RNA (320 nucleotides) under Numida meleagris (helmeted guineafowl). RNAcentral's name for it is "lncRNA (ENSNMEG00000008546.1)". Lineage: Eukaryota; Metazoa; Chordata; Aves; Galliformes; Numididae. The record is from RNAcentral.
GGGGGGAGUCAGUGUCACUUCUGAACAGUGUGUUUAUGAGGAAAUGGUUUGAACAAGCAAUGAAACAGCUUAACCAUUAAAAAAAUGUUUUUUUCACAGAUGUCCUGCAACCAUCCUUAAAGGAAAAUGGCAGUUGAGGGAGUAAUUGAAAAGAACACAUUAUUUUUAAAGAAAGGUAAAGAACUAUCAGUGUGAAGAGCCUUGACUGAAGUAAGCCCAUGAAACUGUUGUUGGCAUCCUAACUUUCUCCUACAGUUCCCAAAUCAGCAAGUAAUCUCUUGAGCGACACCAAAUAAAAAAUAUCUUCUGUUUGAGAACCA